AAGAAAGUAACUUAAUGGGCAAAGUGCUUUCCUAUAACAGAACGAAAUGUUGGUUCGAAUCCAAUCUUUCUUA
Molecule: transfer RNA, 73 nt
Filed under: Scedosporium apiospermum
Lineage: Eukaryota; Fungi; Ascomycota; Sordariomycetes; Microascales; Microascaceae
Rfam family: tRNA
About the family: Transfer RNA (tRNA) molecules are approximately 80 nucleotides in length. Their secondary structure includes four short double-helical elements and three loops (D, anti-codon, and T loops).
Source: Rfam by way of RNAcentral